CUGAAGCGGGAAGAGCUCAUUCUGUGAAUCUGUAUACUAUUUUUGGUAUACCGAGUUGUGGAAUAUAGAAGCACAUCAGUUCGAGUUCUGGUCUAAGUCUCUUGGAAAAGAGCAGCUUAGAGGGUGACACUCCCGUUCUUGGCUAGAACUCAAACUUUAGCAUGUGGUUUCGACGAGUCGAGUUGCUUGGGAUUGCAGCUCAAAGUUGGUGGUAAAUUCCAUCUAAAGCUAAAUAUCGGUGGGAGACCGAUAGCGUACAAGUACCGUGAGGGAAAGAUGCAAAGAACUUUGAAAAAAGAGUUAAAGAGUACCUGAAAUUGCUGAAAUGGAAGCGAAGGAAACCAGUGCCGUUCUAUACCAUUUUUCUGUUCUUGCUUGCGAGAAUAGCGCUGUGGUUUAGUACAGGCCAGCGUGAGUUUGAGCCGAAGGAAGCAGCUUUGCAGGAGGCAGCACAAUUUCUGUGCGAUUACUGCUUAGUUUUGCUUCGGCUUGGACUGAGGCUAGUCACUUGUGCUCGUGACGCUGGCGAAAUGGUUUUCUUUACCCCGUCUUGAAACACGGACC
RNAcentral lists this ribosomal RNA (564 nucleotides) under Chaetoceros socialis. RNAcentral's name for it is "eukaryotic LSU rRNA". It matches the Rfam family "Eukaryotic large subunit ribosomal RNA", at positions 93 to 667 of the family's 3401-position model. Lineage: Eukaryota; Bacillariophyta; Thalassiosirophyceae; Chaetocerotales; Chaetocerotaceae. The record is from RNAcentral.